GGUGGAUCCUGCCUACCGUAGACCAGGGGGGAUUUUAGGUAGGGGGAGAUUUUCAGAACCGAUCCGGACUUCCGGAGUCGAUUCCGGCUCAAGAGCGAGGUAACCGCAUGCUGGAGGGAUGGAUUUCUACCAGCUUGUCGUGCCCUUCCUCUCUGAGUUUUCACAGAGAAAAAGUUGUCCAUUUGGAAGGAUCAACUUAAAUCCAGGAUCUUUUGGAAGUAGUUUCACUUCGUCAGCCGCAUGGCGCCGGCAUUGCGACUGACUCUGUUGCUACGAGGUCCAGCUUGCUGACUAGAUUCUUGUGUUCCUGGAAUAGCUGAGGGCUACGCUUUUCUCCAAAUGGAGUGAAUCCAAAUCAUCAUCCCCUUCUUUGUUAUUAUUAUGCUAGAGUAUAGUGCUACAUUCAGUAUAUGUUACACUGAAUAUCUGUAUCCAUAUCAGCGACUUGGGGCAUGAUUGAUGCAUUUACAUUUUGACACUGCUAUUUCUGUAAUCUUCUCUCCUGCUUAAGCUACGCGGGAGUUACAUCUAUAAAUCUUCGCGUUACGUCUA
Molecule: long non-coding RNA, 552 nt
Organism: Panicum hallii
Lineage: Eukaryota; Viridiplantae; Streptophyta; Magnoliopsida; Poales; Poaceae
Exons: 2
Source: RefSeq, a predicted model, not a curated record